AACUUUCAGCAACGGAUCUCUUGGUUCUGGCAUCGAUGAAGAACGCAGCGAAAUGCGAUAAGUAAUGUGAAUUGCAGAAUUCAGUGAACCAUCGAAUCUUUGAACGCACAUUGCGCCCGCCAGCACUCUGGCGGGCAUGCCUGUCCGAGCGUCAU
RNAcentral lists this ribosomal RNA (155 nucleotides) under Ophiocordyceps sinensis. RNAcentral describes it as "5.8S ribosomal RNA". It matches the Rfam family "5.8S ribosomal RNA". Rfam says of the family: 5.8S ribosomal RNA (5.8S rRNA) is a component of the large subunit of the eukaryotic ribosome. It is transcribed by RNA polymerase I as part of the 45S precursor that also contains 18S and 28S rRNA. Functionally, it is thought that 5.8S rRNA may be involved in ribosome translocation. Lineage: Eukaryota; Fungi; Ascomycota; Sordariomycetes; Hypocreales; Ophiocordycipitaceae. The record is from RNAcentral.